GGGAAGGUGGCUCAGUGGUAGAGCACUUGCUUUGCAUGCAUGAAGCCCUGGGUUCGAUUCCUCAGCACCCCA
This 72-nucleotide transfer RNA is filed under the name Dipodomys ordii (Ord's kangaroo rat). It matches the Rfam family "tRNA". From Rfam's summary of the family: Transfer RNA (tRNA) molecules are approximately 80 nucleotides in length. Lineage: Eukaryota; Metazoa; Chordata; Mammalia; Rodentia; Heteromyidae. The record is from Rfam by way of RNAcentral.